Molecule: ribosomal RNA, 447 nt
Filed under: uncultured bacterium
Lineage: Bacteria
Description: partial 16S ribosomal RNA
Rfam family: Bacterial small subunit ribosomal RNA
Source: RNAcentral
AGCGAACGCUGGCGGCAGGCUUAACACAUGCAAGUCGAACGGUCCUUCAGGAUAGUGGCGGACGGGGGAGUAACACGUGGGAACGUACCCUUAGGUUCGGAACAUCACAGGGAAACUUGUGCUAAUACCCGAUAAGCCCUUCGGGGGACAGAUUUAUCGCCGUUGGAGAGGCUCGCGUCUGAUUCGCUUGUUGGUGAGGUAAUGGCUCACCAAGGCUGCGAUCAGUAGCUGGUCUGAGUGUAUGGCCAGCCACACUGGGACUGAGACACCGUCCAGACACCUACGGGAGGCAGCAGUGGGGAAUCUUGCGCAAUGGGCGAAAGCCUGACUCAGCCAUGCCGCGUGGAUGAUGAAGGUCUUAGGACUGUAAAAUCCUUUCACCGGGUACGAUAAUGACGGUACCCGGAGAAGAAGCCCCGGCUAACUUCGUGCCAGCCGCCGCCGUAA